AAAUUGAAGAGUUUGAUCAUGGCUCAGAUUGAACGCUGGCGGCAGGCCUAACACAUGCAAGUCGAACGGUAACAGGAAGCAGCUUGCUGCUUCGCUGACGAGUGGCGGACGGGUGAGUAAUGUCUGGGAAACUGCCUGAUGGAGGGGGAUAACUACUGGAAACGGUGGCUAAUACCGCAUAACGUCGCAAGACCAAAGAGGGGGACCUUCGGGCCUCUUGCCAUCAGAUGUGCCCAGAUGGGAUUAGCUUGUUGGUGAGGUAACGGCUCACCAAGGCGACGAUCCCUAGCUGGUCUGAGAGGAUGACCAGCCACACUGGAACUGAGACACGGUCCAGACUCCUACGGGAGGCAGCAGUGGGGAAUAUUGCACAAUGGGCGCAAGCCUGAUGCAGCCAUGCCGCGUGUAUGAAGAAGGCCUUCGGGUUGUAAAGUACUUUCAGCGGGGAGGAAGGUGUUGUGGUUAAUAACCGCAGCAAUUGACGUUACCCGCAGAAGAAGCACCGGCUAACUCCGUGCCAGCAGCCGCGGUAAUACGGAGGGUGCAAGCGUUAAUCGGAAUUACUGGGCGUAAAGCGCACGCAGGCGGUCUGUCAAGUCGGAUGUGAAAUCCCCGGGCUCAACCUGGGAACUGCAUUCGAAACUGGCAGGCUUGAGUCUUGUAGAGGGGGGUAGAAUUCCAGGUGUAGCGGUGAAAUGCGUAGAGAUCUGGAGGAAUACCGGUGGCGAAGGCGGCCCCCUGGACAAAGACUGACGCUCAGGUGCGAAAGCGUGGGGAGCAAACAGGAUUAGAUACCCUGGUAGUCCACGCCGUAAACGAUGUCUACUUGGAGGUUGUGCCCUUGAGGCGUGGCUUCCGGAGCUAACGCGUUAAGUAGACCGCCUGGGGAGUACGGCCGCAAGGUUAAAACUCAAAUGAAUUGACGGGGGCCCGCACAAGCGGUGGAGCAUGUGGUUUAAUUCGAUGCAACGCGAAGAACCUUACCUGGUCUUGACAUCCACAGAACUUUCCAGAGAUGGAUUGGUGCCUUCGGGAACUGUGAGACAGGUGCUGCAUGGCUGUCGUCAGCUCGUGUUGUGAAAUGUUGGGUUAAGUCCCGCAACGAGCGCAACCCUUAUCCU
This 1121-nucleotide ribosomal RNA is filed under the name Salmonella enterica subsp. enterica serovar Typhimurium. Its description in RNAcentral is "bacterial SSU rRNA". It matches the Rfam family "Bacterial small subunit ribosomal RNA", at positions 1 to 1111 of the family's 1533-position model. Lineage: Bacteria; Pseudomonadati; Pseudomonadota; Gammaproteobacteria; Enterobacterales; Enterobacteriaceae. The record is from RNAcentral.